RNAcentral lists this small nuclear RNA (161 nucleotides) under Carlito syrichta (Philippine tarsier). RNAcentral describes it as "U1 spliceosomal RNA (ENSTSYG00000034192.1)". It matches the Rfam family "U1 spliceosomal RNA". From Rfam's summary of the family: U1 is a small nuclear RNA (snRNA) component of the spliceosome (involved in pre-mRNA splicing). Its 5' end forms complementary base pairs with the 5' splice junction, thus defining the 5' donor site of an intron. There are significant differences in sequence and secondary structure between metazoan and yeast U1 snRNAs, the latter being much longer (568 nucleotides as compared to 164 nucleotides in human). The record is from RNAcentral. Lineage: Eukaryota; Metazoa; Chordata; Mammalia; Primates; Tarsiidae.
AUACUUACCUGGAAGGGGAGAUACCAUGAUCACGAAGGUGGUUUUCCCAGGGUGGGGCUUAUCCAUUGCACUCCGCAUGUGUUGACUCUCUGAUUUCCUCAAAUGUGGGAAAUUCGACUGCAUAAUUUGUGGUAGUGGGAGACUGCGUUUAUACUCUCCCC